UACAGAGGGGGCAAGCGUUGUUCGGAAUUACUGGGCGUAAAGGGCGCGUAGGCGGCCCGCUAAGUCGAACGUGAAAUCCCCGGGCUCAACCCGGGAACUGCGUCCGAUACUGGUGGGCUUGAAUCCGGGAGAGGGAUGCGGAAUUCCAGGUGUAGCGGUGAAAUGCGUAGAUAUCUGGAGGAACACCAAUAGCGAAGGCAGCUCGCUGGGACGGUACUGACGCUAAGGCGCGAAAGCGUGGGGAGCGAACAGG
This 253-nucleotide ribosomal RNA is filed under the name uncultured bacterium. RNAcentral describes it as "partial 16S ribosomal RNA". It matches the Rfam family "Bacterial small subunit ribosomal RNA", at positions 524 to 776 of the family's 1533-position model. The record is from RNAcentral.